CAGUAGCCACGGUAAAACGUAGGUGGCAAGCGUUGUCCGGAAUUAUUGGGCGUAAAGGGCUCGCAGGCGGUUUCUUAAGUCUGAUGUGAAAGCCCCCGGCUCAGCCGGGGAGGGUCAUUGGAAACUGGGAAACUUGAGUGCAGAAGAGGAGAGUGGAAUUCCACGUGUAGCGGUGAAAUGCGUAGAGAUGUGGAGGAACACCAGUGGCGAAGGCGACUCUCUGGUCUGUAACUGACGCUGAGGAGCGAAAGCGUGGGGAGCGAACAGGAUUAGAGACCCCCGUAGUCCCUGUCUCUUAUAC
Molecule: ribosomal RNA, 301 nt
Filed under: uncultured bacterium
Lineage: Bacteria
Description: partial 16S ribosomal RNA
Rfam family: Bacterial small subunit ribosomal RNA
Source: RNAcentral